UUGAGAACUGCUUGCGAGAGGGCAAAAAGAACACUUUCUUUUCUUGUUGUCGCCACUGUUGAGGUUGAUUCUUUAUUUCAAGGCAUUGACUUUUCUUCAUCGAUUAAUAGGGCCAAGUUUGAGGAAAUGAAUAUGGACCUUUUCGAUGAAUGUACGAAGAUUGUUGAAAGUUGUCUUAUUGAUGCUAAGAUGGACAAGAGUAAGGUAGAUGAUGUUGUUCUUGUUGGUGGGUCUUCUAGGAUUCCCAAAGUGCAGCAGCUGUUGCAGGAGUUUUUCAAGGGGAAGGAGUUGUGCAAGAGCAUUAACCCUGAUGAGGCUGUAGCUUAUGGGGCAGCUGUUCAGGCUGCUUUGUUGUGUGAAGACGUUAAGAAUGUUCCUAAGUUGGUGCUGCAGGAUGUUACACCUUUGUCUCUUGGUAGGUCCAUAGUCGGAGAUAUCAUGAGUGUGGUGAUUCCUCGAAACACUUGCAUUCCUGUCAAGAAGACAAGACCAUAUGUUACAAUCGAAGAUAACCAAUCCAGUUCCACAAUUGCGGUUUAUGAGGGUGAGAGAACAAGAGCUAGUGACAACAAUUUUCUGGGUUCCUUUAUUCUUUCUGGUCAUACCCUGGCUCCUCGUGGCCUUCCUUUGGAUGUCUGUUUUGCUAUAGAUGAAAAUGGUAUUUUGACAGUUUCUGCUAAGGAAAAGUGCAGUGGCAAAAUGAAUGAAAUUACAAUAUCCAAUCACAAAGAAAGGAUGUCAGCUGAAGAAAUUAAAAAAUUGAUUAAAGAAGCUGAGAGUUACCGUGUUGAGGACAUGAAAUUCCUAAGGAAGGCUGAAGCAGUGAAUGCAUUGGAUCACUACAUUUACAAAAUGAGAAAUGCUUUAAAGAAAAAAGAUAUUAAUUUGAAGCUUUCCUCACAAAAGAUCAGGAAGAUUGAAUCUGCAAUUACAGUGGCCACAAAUAUGCUUGAUGAGGAUCACCAUCACAAUGAUUCACAUGUUCUCGAGAAUCAUUUGAAGGAGCUCAAGAUUGAGUUUGAUUACAUCAUUGCUAAGACUAUUUAGAUUGCUUUAUCCUCUAGAAGAUUUUAUUAAGUAAGGUUUGACGAAUUUUGUAGUGUGAACUUGCAUUUAAAUGAACUGGAUCAAUCCUAUGUUAAAAUUUAACUUUUUAAAUUACUGAGGUCAGCAACUGUUAUACAUAGGAAUGAAUUGGUAUACAAUAGUGUGAAACCAUUAUUAGAAAGGAUCUAGAACCAAAUUGCACCUUUGAACACAAAUAUUUUAUUUUAUGUGUCGGUGGUUAAUUUGUUCAGGGAUGGGAAAAUGUUAGUAGCAAAGAUCGAACUCUGAACCUCCUACAUGGAACUCUUUUGGUGUCCCAAUCCAUACAAAAAGUAUUGAAAUUAAACAAUGGCAAGUCGAUUCAAAUCGGCUUUUUUAUCUUCCAAGUAACCGUCUAGAGAGGUGAUACAAAAGUCUCGAUUUUGAUUUUGUCCACAAAUUACAUUGAUUUUUUUUUUCUUUUGAGAGACACUUUCUGUGGUAGAGGAAAACAUUAAGAUGAACAGAAAGAUCAACAUGAAAAGAAGAACAGAACAGGAGAAAAAAAAAAGAUGCAUCUGAAAAGCAAUUGUUUGUUCUGUUUUAACUUCAAUGUGCAAGUUGUAGAAGCUAGUCUUGUUUCUAUAAAUUGUAUAAACAGAAAUUAUAUAAGAAUAAGCUUAGAAUAAUGAGUUUAGAACAAAGGUAGUUACUAAUCAUGCAUAUGCUGCCUACACUAUUUAUCAUAUUCCUGAAGGACAUGCAACCAAGCACUUUUGCACAUAAAAAGGUGUACUAGUGAAGUUAGUAUUUUGUCAAACACUCCAGACUUUUUUUUUUUUUUUUGAUAAUAACACUCCAGACUUUUUAACGUCCAUUCCUACGUUCCGAAUAAUGUAAGAAAGAAAGAUUUCGACAGGUGGGGAUUGGGCAUAGCGGAAGGGAUUAGAUUCCUACAAUGUUAUGUAUCAAUGUUCGAAUUACGAGAGAUAUCCACAUUUAGUGACCUGACACGUCUCAAAUAUGAUUACUUUUAGUGGAAAGAAACUAUAAAACAAGAUGUUGGAACAAAAUAGAUUUAAAAAUUGUUCCCCCCCUGAGAUUAUUAAAGUUUUGAUGAUAACAAAGUAUUAAAUGUACAAUUUGAGAUAUUAAAAAUUUAUUUUAAGUGUGCAGAACUAACGUAAAGUCAAGUUCUGAAGCAAGGCCAGAAGAUGAACUCUCAGAGGUUCAUAAUGACUCAGAAGUUAUAAACAUCAGAGGUUAUGUCCAUCAGAGGUUGAAAACCUCAGGACUUGAUAUCUCAGAAGCUAGUCAAACUCUUAUGUGAUCUUGGUUUCUGUGAAGAUUCGUCAUUGAAGGUUAACUCUUUUACCAAUGAAGAAAACGACCUCUCAAGAAGAUCAGAACAACAUCUUACAUUUUUUCCUAGUCUCUAGGACAGAAUGUGACUGAUCUGGUCUCUUAGCUUAAUAAGGAAAGUCUUCUCUGCACUAGGUCAAAGUUACUGAAACUCUUACUCUAUUUUGGAAAACAUCCAAACUGCAUCAAGACAUAUGCAAGAAGACAAGCUUAUCUUCAUCAACGGUCAUAUGCAACGACUACUUUUCUCAGUACUAUAAAUACUAGAAGAAGUGGAUUGCAUACAUACAACACACGCACGAACAAGCUAUCAUCUUACAAUCUAAGAAUACAAACUCUCAUCCUCUAAACCGAGAAUUCCAUUCUUACUCAAAUACUUUGUAUUUAAUUGUUAAGGUUCUUUAAGAGUAUUGUAUUACACUCUCAACAAACUUUAUUUACAUUCUUAAGUUUGAGAAGUCUCUUGUUGUGUGCUUGAGCAUUGUGUAGAAGUCUCUUACUGAGUGCUUGAUCAUUUGUAAUCUUGUGUGAUUAUAGUGAAAUCCCUUUGAAGUACAAGAGGACCGGACUACUCUCGUUUUGUGAGAGGAACCAGUAUAAAUUCUCUGUGUGUUUCUAUCUCUUUUAUCUGCUUCGUGUGAUUGAUUUAUUUAUCCGCUGCUAAGUACUUGAAAUCUAAGUUGAAAAAGUUUUAACUUACCAAAACACAAUUCAACCUCCUCUUCUUGUGUUUUCAAAAAGUUAUACACAAUUAACAUUAUUUUAAUUCUUUUCUUUUAAUUAUUUUUAUGAUUUUAUGAGUGUCUAACACAUGUCAUUUGUAUUUGUGCCUAUUAAAGAAUUUUUCAUAUACAAAGCGAUUCUUGCUUAGACACAAAUCCAAAUAAAAUAUGUUUGGGCACAUACACACAAAUCAAAAAGUUUAAAAGAAAAUAAAAGUCACAUCAAUUAACAUUAUUUUAAUUCUUUUCUUUUAAUUAUUUUUAUGAUUUUGUGAGUGUGUCUAACACAUGUCAUUUGUGUUUGUGCCUAUUAAAAUUUUUUUUCUAUACAGAACAAUUCUUGCUUAGGCACAAACCCAAAUAAAAUAUAUUUGGGCACAUACACACAAAUCAAAAAGUUAAAAAAAAAAAAAAAUAGUAACAUCAAUUAAUAUUAUUUUAAUUCUUUUAUGUUAAUUAUUUUUAUGAUUUUGUGAGUGUAUAGUUGUAUUGAUAAAAAAUUAAAAAUAAGUCUUUCAUAUGUGUCUAAUGGAUCAGUACUAUUAAUCAAGUAACGGUCAAUAAAGUUGAAAGAUUUUUUUUAUCAAACUACUCCUCGAAAAACAAAAUAAUAUCAAACUACCCUACUUUUUUGAAAAAAAUACCAAACUACCCUACUUUUUAGUGUGAGGGGAACGCUCUACCCAGUAGAUAGCGUCCAUAGGAAGGACACACCAUUGGGAAGCUAGCGUCCAGUUCUGGCUUUUUUCUUCGUUUUUUAGAAUCGGCAACGGGUUUUAACUAUUACCGUAGGACUUAAAAAAAUUGUUCCAUAAAUAAUUUAUUUAUUUCGAUAGUUUUUUUACAUUUUCUGUGGGUUAUAGACUAUCGAAAUGAAUAAAUUGUUUAUCGAACCAUUUAUUCACCGAGACUGGAAAAAUCUCAUAAUUCAUAGUUUAUAACCGGCGAAAAUUGUAAAAAAAACUACCGAAAUGAAUAAAUUGUUUAUCAAACCAUUUUUUUUAAGAAUCUUCCAUCCUAACACGUAUAGUGUGUCAGUGGAUCCAUUUAGGUGAGGAAUCAAAUAAAUGUUAUUUAUUCACUAAGUCUGAAAAUAUUCCGAAAUUCGUAGUCAUAUAACACACGGAAAUUCGUAGUUUAACAAUUUAUUCAGCGAGACUGGAAAAAUCUCAUAAUUUGUAGUCUAUAACCCACAUAAAUCGUAAAAAAACUAACAAAAUGAAUAAAUUGUUUAUCGAACCAUUGUUUUUGAAGAAUCUUCCAUCACAACAAGUAUAGUGUGUCUGUGGAACCAUUUAGGUGAGAAAUCAAAUAAAUUUUAUUUAUUCACUAAGUUUGGAAAAAUUCCAAAAUUUGUAGUCUAUAACACACGAUAAUUGUAAAAAACUAACAAAAUGAAUAAAUUAUUUAUUGAACCAUUUUUUCGAGUUCUGCGAAAAUAGUUAAAACCCGUUGCCGAAUCUAAAAAACAGAUAAAAAAAAAUGCCAGAAUUGGACGCUAGCUUCUCAAUGGUGAAGGUGUGAAAACACAAGAAGGGGAGGUUGAAUUGUGUUUUAGCCAAGUUAAAUUUUUUUCAAAGUUCUUAACUCAGCUACGUUAGCAGCGGAUAAAUAACACAAAAAGUAACAAGAUCAGAGAGAGAGAAAGCACACAAGCAAUUUAUACUGGUUCCUCUCAAAAAACGAGAGUAGUCCAGUCCCCUUGCACUUCCAAGGGAUUUCACUAUAAUCACACAAGAUUACAAAUGCUCAAGCACACAAACAAGAGACUUCACCACUAUGCUUAAGUACACAAGCUUAAGACUUCUCACUUAAGCACACAAGCUUAAGACUUCUCACUUAAGCACACAAGCUUAAGAUUACUCAAACUAACAAAGUAAAUAAAGUUUGAUGAUUGAAUAUAACUGCUCUUAAGAGAACCUUAAGAAUCAAAUACAGUAAGUACAAAGUAUUUGAACUAAGAGUUAAAAACACUAAUUCAGAGAUUCAGAGCUUGUAUUCGCAAAUGUGAAAAUGUUGAGCGCACGUUGUAAUAAUUGAUGUUAGAUUGAUAGAUCUCUUUGCAAGUUGAUUCUUCCAGUAUAUAUAGGACUAAGAAAGAGUCGUUGCAAAGAUGACCGUUGAUGAAGAUAACCUUUUGUCUUCAAGCAGCUUGUCUUGAUGCAGUUUGGUCGUUUCCAAAACAGAGUAAGAGUUUCCGUAACUUUGACCAUGUGCAGAGNNNNNNNNNNNNNNNNNNNNNNNNNNNNNNNNNNNNNNNNNNNNNNNCUUUGACCAUGUGCAGAGAAGACUUUCCUUAUUCAGCUAAGAAGUCUGAUAACCCACGUUCUCCAUUGUGGACAGACAAAAUGUAAGUAGCUGUUCUGAUCAAGGUUGUGAGGUCCUUUUCUUCAUUGGUAAGAGAGUUGACCUUCAAAUUCGAAUCUUCACACAAACCAAGAUAUACCUCAGAGUUUGAUUCACUUCAGACUUUAGCAAGUUCUGAUGUCUUCAUCCUCUGAUGUAAGUAACUUCUGAAGAUUCUUAUCUUCUGAGUUCUUGCGAACUUCUGAGGACUUGUCUUCUGAACUUUCUUCAGAGUUUGUCUGAAACUAAGUUCUGCAUACUUAAAUUAAAUUUUUAGUCCUUCCAAUUGUAUAUUAAUACUUUUGUUAUCAUCAAAACCUUAAUAGAUUUAGGGGCAAACAUUUUUAAACCAAUUUUAUUCCAACAAAUGGUGCGUCCGAACGCUACCUUGGAAAUGGCGCGUCCUUCCUAUGAACGCUAUCCUCUGGAUGGAACAUUCUCCUCACACAAAAAAGUAUGGUAGUUUGGUAUUUUUUCAAAAAAGUAGGGUAAUUUGGUAUUAUUUUAUUUUUAUAGGAGUAGUUGAAACCACGAAAAAUGACGGUUGCGUGUUAUUUUUGACGGUUCACUGUAAAAGUGAACUGUGACUGUAAGAUUGAAGAGACGUUUGAAAGGUUCAGCAAAAAAUUUCAAAGGAGAAUGUUAACAUAUAAGGAAGCAAAAAUAGAAAUUAUUAAAUGCUAAUUUGUGCAUUUUGACUUUUGAAGCAUUAAAUUUCUUGUAUCAUUAAAUGUUAAAUUUCUAUUUUGGUAUAUCUUAACAUAUGCCUAAUGUGCCCUAAGGGCACAUGUUAACGAGAUCCUUUUUCAAAUACUUGAUUUUGCUUUUUAAGGGUUUCAGAAGAGAUAAACCUCAACAAGGAGCAUUUUCAUUCACACCAUCACUUCAACAAUCAACUACAAGUUAAGGUUAAGCUUCUCAUUUUCUUCUCAAAAUAUUGACUUGUGUGUUUUUUCUGAACUUGUUUAUGUACUUUUUAACAGAUUCAUGGCGAGGAAAUACGAAGGACUUGGUGUUGGAAUAGACCUUGGCACCACAUACUCGUGUGUUGCAGUGUGGCAGGAACAACAUUCUCGAGUUGAGAUCAUUCACAACGAUCAAGGAAACAGAACAACUCCUUCUUUUGUUGCUUUUACCGAAGAACAAAGGUUGGUUGGUGAUGCUGCUAAGAAUCAAGCUGCUGCUAACCCUCAAAACACUGUUUUUGGUAUUUUCUAUUUCUUACUACUUCCUUUAAAAGUAUAAAACCUAGUUACAAGAUCUUUUUAUGAAAAAAUCAAUUUUUUUCCUAAAAAAUUUAUCUUUAUCAUUUUGAUUGUUAUAGGAUUUAAUUGAUAUGCACACCAACCAUGUUUUCCACCACAUCACCCCACUUCAUCCUACUUUCUUGACAUGACAUGACAAAAUGAUGGUUAUUUAUUAGACGAUCGUGUAAAAUAUUAAACUCUUUGUUAUAGUAUAUUUUGAAGAAAAUAAUUUUUAGUUCCAAAAUGAAAAGUUAAUCUCCUAAUAGCUUUUCUAGGAGCUUCACAUUUUCAAAAACUGAUUUUUAUAAUAGUAAACAAACAGAAAUUAGUUUUAAUUUUUUUAAAAUCCUUAAAAAAUAAUUUCUAAAUUUUCUAAAAAUAAAUUCAUUUUUUUAAAAGGUUAAACAAUGCAUCGGUAUCCCCAUGAGUUUAACUCACUUGGUAAGGGAUAAUCACAUUUUAUAUGCGGGGGGUCGGAGUUCGAAUCCCAGACACCCCACUUAUCCACCUUAAGAGUGAAAUUUUUAACCACUAGACUACGUGACAAAAAAAACACACCUUUUAUUUAUCCAACCAUCACAAUAGAGCUACUACAAACCAUCAAACCUUUUCUUCAACCUUAAGGCCCCUUUAUAAUAAGUAUAUUCUCUUAGAAAAAACUCCAUCCAACUUGAAUGUGCAAAAGACAAUGAUUUAGUAUUACCUCUAAAGUUAAACCAAACACAGUUUGAAGUUGGUUAAAUUUUCUCAAAAGAUUCAUUUGUUUUUGCUAUAAUAUAGAAAACAUAUGUUUUUAUUUGAAAAUCCUUAACAACAUAACAGAUAUGUAUCCGCACACUAAUAUAAUAAGUAUGUUCUCACCAGCCCAGAUGCUCAAUAACAUAGGUAAUAUAGAAAAACGUUAGCUUUGCUUAAUCUUUAAACACUUGCGGCCAUCCUGUAACUCAACCGAUGUUAAUUUCAAAUAAGAACAUUUUUUAGGAAAUACCCGAAACAGUUUGUAACUUGUACGAUGGGGAACUUUGUGCCACACAACCAUUUAUUUUUAUUGUUUUGUUAUUAUUAAUGCUGAACAAUUGAAUCAUGAGAAAUACUAAUUUUAUUUUUCAGAUGCUAAGAGGUUAAUCGGUAGGAAGUUUGUGAUCAAGUUGUUCAAGAUGAUAUUCUAUUGUGGCCAUUCAAGGUUGCUGCUGGUAUCAAUGACAAACCCAUGAUUACUGUUAAUUACAAGAAUCAGGAGAAGCAGCUUUGUGCCGAAGAAGUAUCAUCUAUGAUACUCACAAAGAUGCGAGAAAUUGCUGAGACAUACUUAGAAUCACCGGUUAAAAAUGCAGUUGUUACUGUGCCUGCUUAUUUCAGUGAUUCUCAACGAAAGGCCACCAUAGAUGCUGGUGCUAUUGCUGGCCUCAAUGUCAUGAGGAUAAUGAAUGAACCCACCGCUGCAGCUGUUGCAUAUGGCCUUGACAAGAUAACUAAUUGUGUUGGAGAACGUAAUAUUUUUGUCUUUGAUCUUGGUGGUGGAACUUUUGAUGUGUCACUCCUAACAAUUAAGGAUAAUGUAUUCCAAGUUAAGGCCACAGCUGGAAACACUCACCUUGGUGGAGAGGACUUUGAUAAUAGAAUGGUGGACUACUUUGUACAAGAGUUUAAGAGAAAGAAGAAAUUGGACAUUAGUGGGAAUCCAAGAGCCUUGAGGAGGUUGAGAACUGCUUGCGAGAGGGCAAAAAGAACACUUUCUUUUCUUGUUGUUGCCAUUAUUGAGGUGGAUUCUUUAUUUCAAGGCAUUGACUUUUCUUCAUCAAUUAAUAGGGCCAAGUUUGAGGAAAUGAAUAUGGACCUUUUCAAUGAAUGUACGAAGAUUGUUGAAAGUUGUCUUAUUGAUGCUAAGAUGGACAAGAGUAAGGUAGAUGAUGUUGUUCUUGUUGGUGGGUCUUCUAGGAUUCCC
This 8648-nucleotide long non-coding RNA is filed under the name Trifolium pratense (red clover). RNAcentral's name for it is "long non-coding RNA (TPRA_LNC009059)". Lineage: Eukaryota; Viridiplantae; Streptophyta; Magnoliopsida; Fabales; Fabaceae. The record is from RNAcentral.